RNAcentral lists this ribosomal RNA (686 nucleotides) under uncultured Mycobacterium sp. RNAcentral's name for it is "bacterial SSU rRNA". It matches the Rfam family "Bacterial small subunit ribosomal RNA", at positions 133 to 833 of the family's 1533-position model. Lineage: Bacteria; Bacillati; Actinomycetota; Actinomycetes; Mycobacteriales; Mycobacteriaceae. The record is from RNAcentral.
GCACUUCGGGAUAAGCCUGGGAAACUGGGUCUAAUACCGAAUAGGACCAUUUAGCGCAUGCUUUAUGGUGGAAAGCUUUUGCGGUGUGGGAUGGGCCCGCGGCCUAUCAGCUUGUUGGUGGGGUGACGGCCUACCAAGGCGACGACGGGUAGCCGGCCUGAGAGGGUGUCCGGCCACACUGGGACUGAGAUACGGCCCAGACUCCUACGGGAGGCAGCAGUGGGGAAUAUUGCACAAUGGGCGCAAGCCUGAUGCAGCGACGCCGCGUGGGGGAUGACGGCCUUCGGGUUGUAAACCUCUUUCAGCAGGGACGAAGCGCAAGUGACGGUACCUGCAGAAGAAGCACCGGCCAACUACGUGCCAGCAGCUGCGGUAAUACGUAGGGUGCGAGCGUUGUCCGGAAUUACUGGGCGUAAAGAGCUCGUAGGUGGUUUGUCGCGUUGUUCGUGAAAUCUCACGGCUUAACUGUGAGCGUGCGGGCGAUACGGGCAGACUGGAGUACUGCAGGGGAGACUGGAAUUCCUGGUGUAGCGGUGGAAUGCGCAGAUAUCAGGAGGAACACCGGUGGCGAAGGCGGGUCUCUGGGCAGUAACUGACGCUGAGGAGCGAAAGCGUGGGGAGCGAACAGGAUUAGAUACCCUGGUAGUCCACGCCGUAAACGGUGGGUACUAGGUGUGGGUUUCCUU